UACGGAGGGUGCAAGCGCUAUCCGGAUUCACUGGGUUUAAAGGGUGCGUAGGUGGGCAGGUAAGUCAGUGGUGAAAUCUCCGGGCUUAACCCGGAAACUGCCAUUGAUACUAUCUGUCUUGAAUACCGUGGAGGUGAGCGGAAUAUGUCAUGUAGCGGUGAAAUGCUUAGAUAUGACAUAGAACACCAAUUGCGAAGGCAGCUCACUACGCGAAUAUUGACACUGAGGCACGAAAGCGUGGGGAUCAAACAGG
This 253-nucleotide ribosomal RNA is filed under the name uncultured bacterium. Its description in RNAcentral is "partial 16S ribosomal RNA". It matches the Rfam family "Bacterial small subunit ribosomal RNA", at positions 524 to 776 of the family's 1533-position model. The record is from RNAcentral.